CGGGGCUUAAUGUCUUGUAAUUGGAAUGAUGGGAAUUUAAACCUCUUCCAGAGUAUCAAUUGGAGGGCAAGUCUGGUGCCAGCAGCCGCGGUAAUUCCAGCUCCAAUAGCGUAUAUUAAACUUGUUGCAGUUAAAAAGCUCGUAGUUGUAUUUCAGCCUCGCGUUUUUUCCCUCUUUUCGGGCCUUUUCGCUGGCUUUCUUUUUACUUUGAGAAAAUUAGAGUGUUUCAAGCAGACUUUUGUCUUGAAUACUUCAGCAUGGAAUAAUAGAGUAGGACCUUGGUUCUAUUUUGUUGGUUUUAGGUACCAAAGUAAUGGUUAAUAGGAACAGUUGGGGGCAUUCGUAUUUAACUGUCAGAGGUGAAAUUCUUAGAUUUGUUAAAGACGAACUACUGCGAAAGCAUUUGCCAAGGAUGUUUUCAUUAAUCAAGAAC
This 433-nucleotide ribosomal RNA is filed under the name Babesia bigemina. RNAcentral describes it as "SSU rRNA". It matches the Rfam family "Eukaryotic small subunit ribosomal RNA", at positions 486 to 984 of the family's 1831-position model. The record is from RNAcentral. Lineage: Eukaryota; Apicomplexa; Aconoidasida; Piroplasmida; Babesiidae.